GGGGAUGUAGCUCAGUGGUAGAGCACAUGCUUAGCAUGCAUGUCGUCCUGGGAUAAAUCCCCAGCAUCUCCA
Molecule: non-coding RNA, 72 nt
Organism: Syngnathus typhle (broad-nosed pipefish)
Lineage: Eukaryota; Metazoa; Chordata; Actinopteri; Syngnathiformes; Syngnathidae
Source: the annotation of a RefSeq genome assembly